CACGAGUACAAGGACAAACAAAAAUUGGCAAUGCAAACUUAAAUUAUUAAUUAAUAACAAUAAAAGGCUGAGAAUAUUUCAGAAUGUAGUGUGCCAUGGCAAUACAGACGGAACAUAAACUAUGUGGUUCCUCAUAGGUGGUGGGACAUUAUUCCAACACUUUGAAGCGUUAUACCGGUAGCUGCCCCGGAAGGCUGCCGAAGCAUGGCGUGGCGUCAGCAAAUGACUUCCACAAUUGCGGCGGUCGCGGAGCUUGAUGCAAGAUAACUUA
This is a long non-coding RNA of Leguminivora glycinivorella, 271 nucleotides long. RefSeq lists it as uncharacterized. The transcript has 2 exons. The record is from RefSeq and is a predicted model, not a curated record. NCBI's taxonomy places the organism in Eukaryota, Metazoa, Arthropoda, Insecta, Lepidoptera, Tortricidae.